Molecule: long non-coding RNA, 6445 nt
Filed under: Cricetulus griseus (Chinese hamster)
Lineage: Eukaryota; Metazoa; Chordata; Mammalia; Rodentia; Cricetidae
Description: lncRNA (ENSCGRG00015030168.1)
Source: RNAcentral
GGAAGUGGCAAGCAGCCAUGUGCCCACAGAAAUGAGGGGCUCAGAAACUCUCCAAAGAGUGGUCAAGGCAUUAGAUAACCUCACCAUCUACCUGAUCUCUUCCAUAGAUUCCAAGACGAAGCAAUGAUUAGACUCUUACUGUAUUGCAUGCAGUAAUACUACCCAGAAAUGCAAAACUUAGUAAACUGGGUGGCCUAGGCUUUGUUACUCAAGGAUGCUGGCUGUCUCUGACUUGCCUAAUCAUUUGGUUAAAAUGUUUGCAUAUUAUUUUUAAUGUUUGCAUAUUAUAAUGACAUAACAUAAUGCAAACAUGGAAUGUUGCUUUGGUUAUUUUGUUUACUUGUAGAUUUCCUUGCUGUCUGAUUCCCAUGUCAGAUAGAAUAUCAUUAUUAAUAAUUUACAACAUGCUAACACUGUGCUGAAAAUGCUCAUCUCUGGGAUCCGACUUACUCCUCACAAACACUGGUGAAUGACAUCACUUUACUAUGGCACAGCUUCAGCCCAGAGAUGGCAAGCAUCUUGCCAAAGAGAGCACAGCCAGGCUAUGGAAACAUGGAAAUAAAAGUCAGGCCCAGCUUCUACUACCUGAAAGAUUUCCAAGAAUUGUGGCAACCCCAAAACACCUUGGAACUUGUCAAGUUUUACUGGAGAUGAGUUGCAGUUAAUUAAUCCAACAGACACUUUAAUCUUGCAAAUUCUUGACUUGUAAUAUUGUAAUCAAGCAACUGGAACAGAACAUGAAUCAGUUCAUGGACUAGGACAACUUGGUUCAGUGCUGUGACCUGAUGUAUCCAAGCCUGAAGAGACAGACCUCUGAGAAGUAGAGCUAAGGAAAUUGUGCUACCUGGUCCCUCAACACAAAUGCCAUCAGUGUCCAUGGUAUCAUCCUCUUUCUUUAUUUUUUUUCUAGUAAGAACUGCUUUUUAAAAACCAGUCAAUGAAUUCCUGGGGCUUGUAUAACUCAGAGAAAUGGGUAUGGGUCAAAGGGACUUGCUUCAAGUGGAUUGAAGCCCACUUGUUUAGAAAUGAAAAGAGUCUGUCAUCUUUUAUAACUGAUCUACCAUUGCUGCUUUUGAUUUGUUCCAUUGUCAGCAUGAUAAUAACCAACGUGUAAUGUUUUCAUUGAUAAUUCAGUUUCAGAGGUUAAAUCUGCAGUUUUAACUUAAAGGUAUAGUUAUAGAGUGAUUUGAUGCCUGCCUUCCUAAGUGGUAACAUUACCAUUCCCAAACCAAUACCCAUUUCAACAAGGAAUCAACUAGUCUAUGGCUUUUCAAGUCACAUAAAAUCUUGGUUAUGACCUUAAAGAUGACCAACCAAAUGGCCUUAAUGCCUACGUUUUUAUUAUAAGAAAACAGGUGGACUGAGAAUUGACAACCAUGAUUCCUUCCAUUUCUCUUCAAAUAAAGGUGAAAAUGAAGUUGUCAGAGUUAAGAUAUAAAGUAUGUAAGAGUCUGAUGUGCAUGUGACCCUAUUAAAUUUAUAUCUACUCUUUUGGCAUCAUUUUUAGAAGUUAGAUAUAGAUAAAAGGGUGAAAGUCAUCAAGUAUGUCCAAUAAGCACUUUGAAAGGAGAAGAAGAUGGAUCAGGGAUCACUAUGUCCCCACACAAGCAUCUCAGUUGUUCUAUCAGGAUAUUCCCAGAGCUUCUGAGUGCACUCCUGGGAAUCCACAGGGUGCCCAGGCAAGCCAUGUCCCAGAGCAACCUCUGGGUGUAACCACUACAAUUGAAUGAAUGAUAGAAAGGUAGCUUCCUCCCCUGUGACUUACCCUCACAUGCCAAACAACUAGAACUAACAAGCUGAAAAAUGCUCAUUUCCUGACCUACACCCUCCUGUGUAAUUUAUCAUGAGUUGGUUAACUGCAGGGACAUAGGAACAAUAGCAGUCCUCUCUAACAAGGUUCAAGGAGUAAGUGUGACCAUGGGAGUGUUGAGUACCAGGACAAAAGAUUUCUACUAAUGUAGAGGCCCAAGAAAACCUGUCCAUCACUUGUCAGGAACACUCACCAUUUUACCUAGUAGACACAUAAAAUAUCUCUGCCAUUCCAUAAUUAUGGUAAUGUACAUAUCCCUUUAUGAAGGGACAAGGCCUGGUUAAUAUGGAAAGAUAGAGGUCAUGCAGGAAGCUUCAUAUCAAGUGGCUCUUUCUAAGAAAACCUUCCCUCUGAUGGUUCUCCUUGAUUAGUGGUCCUGUAAUGCUCUGUCCAUCAAGAGCUUCUGAUGGAUUAUAAAGCAAGAGAUUACACUCUCACUUAUUAAACAUAAGCUAUUUAAGUAUCACUCUUUUAAUAACAAUGAGAUUCAGGGUUACCAUGGCCUUACUCACCAUCCCAUUGUAAAUAUAUCAAUCAUAACAGGUCUGUGUUCAAAUGCACUCAACUCGUUUAGCCAGUAUCAUCUUUCUUGCAACUCGGUUUGGAUCUUGGUUCUAUCAGUCAGUUAUCUUCUCUGUGUACCUACUCUGAGGCUCAUAAGUCCCGUGUAAGUAAUUUUCAGAACAAUAGAAGAAAAUAAAAAGACAGUUAUGCAAUUUUCCCACUGAGACAGAAAACAUUAGACUGUUGAUCACCCCAAAGUUCUGACUUUUCCUCAUGACUGAGUUUCUUUUUAUUGGCCAGCAUUCAUCAUUUGAAUUUUCCAGGUGAUUGCUGAAUAAUUUUCACCAAGCCAAAGUAGAUAGUGCAGCAUUAUUAAAAAGUAAAGACUGUUCACAUGAAUGCAAACAUCCCUAUGAAAAAUCAAGAAGUCAGUCACUCAAGUAGCACAUGUGGUUUUGUGAUAGCACACAUCUGGAAACUCUCUUUGAGAGACCAGAUGUUUUAGCAUACUGUUUUCCAUCCUGUUUUCUGGUGUAGAUAGACAAACUGCUCAGGUGUUGCAGGUGGAACUUAACUAUCUUGUGCAGUAACCUUUUGUUGGUGACAUUCUGCUGCUAACAAUUCUCUUUGUUAUACAAAGAGAAAUAAAUCGUGCAGAGCAAUUGUGGUCUAUUUUCAUUUCCUUCUGAAAAUGCAUGAGUGUAAGAGGUUGGAUGGCUGUGUCUCAGGUGUGCUAAACAUAACUGCUUGAGGACCUUCUUAAAGUGGCAGUUCUUAGAGGCUUUUCACCGGCUUUUCUGGGCAAGAAAAUUUUUAGCCUUCACUAUGUUUCAAAAUUGUAUCUGCUGUUUAUAAAUCUUAAACAUUUUCAAAAUCUACUGAACAGAAUGGCUUAAGGGAAAUAUAAAAUCUUUUAUCUUCUUAUUGUUCAAAUAGAACUUUUCACUUUAAGUGUCCCUUAUAAUAUCUUAAAGUUAAAGCUGUUUAAAUUGUUUGAUACAAUUACUUCAUGGUGAAUUUUAUGGCUGCAGUUGGAGGAAAAAGUCUAUUUCCCCAAAUCAAACUAAUUGCCUAGCUUUGGGAUUUGGUUUGCUGAUGUCAUUCUAGUUAACAAGUGCUUGCUGGUUACUGUGAAUACUGUAAUGUUAGUAUUCCCCCAGUUGAUCCCUGCCACAUUUCUCCAUGAGGGUAAAAAGAAGUGUUGACCAUGAAGGAAACUUGCCUUCCAGAAGGAGGGAUGAGGAUGCCACACUAGCCCAGAUCUCUUUCUUCCCAGUAACCUUGGGAAGUUGGUCCUGCCCCUCUGAUCUGCUGGGUGAUGAAGAUACGGAUGUCCUCAAGUAGAAUGCUUGCCUCACUGACUGAUCUGAAGUUUGGCAGAAAAACACACAAUCUGUCUGACCUAUUUCCCUUUAAGAGCACUUUAGUGACACAGCUUGCUCUGAGGCACUUACUGUAGGUGAACAAAGAUCUUGGAAGGGCAUUGAGCUAUACAAACAUCUUGAGGGAUUUCCAAAGACAGUACAAAUGUUCCCAAGGACCCAGGUGGCAUUUUGAUUGUGUGAAAGUCUACAUUCAGAGGCAAGAAUAACAUCAUGAGACAGAUGAUGAAAUUCCUCUUGAGUCUCUCCUUUCCUUAGUUGUAGUUUCCCUUAACACCCAAACCUCACCACUAAGCCACAUUUUUCCACUCUAUAUGGUUUUGGCUUUCCCGUUUCCCUUGGGAUUUUAAAUCAUCAAUCUCUGCACCAGUGUGUUACUGAGAGAAUGUCUGGCUGAUAUUACAACAAAAAGGUGGCAAGUGAUUGGCAAUGACACACAGAAAAGCUGUUUCAUUUAUGACCUUCAAUAAAGGUGAUUGAUGUGAAGCUUAUAGAUUAAUAGAAAAGCAGAAAUCCCUGUGUUGAAUAUUAUGGCUAUUUUAAACAUGUUUAAAGAUAUUAUGUGAAACAAUAUCCAUUUAUACUAUGGAAUAUAUUCCAUUCUGGGUACAGUGGCACGGUGGCAUGAGGGCACAUGGUCCAGUGACAGCAGUAAAGAAACUAGGAAUCUGUACACACCUGGGUCCCAACCCUACUCGAUCUCUUUACCUCAAAACUUAUUUUGGCCUCAUUGAUCCCAUAUAAAAGAGUAAGGAUAUUUGUUUACCUACCUCAUAGGGUGUUGUAAAGAAUGUGAGGAUAGAGAGCACCAUGCCUCUUGCUAAGUUGCAAAAACACAGAGAACUGUGUGCAUUACAGGGCUAAGAAGGGUGGGUGCCACAGUUGUCUGAGGAGCAGCAGCUGUUCCAGUUUAUACAGGAAACUUUUCCAUUAAAGGUCCAGGUAGAAAUAAUAAGCUUUCAAUGAAAACAUAUAGACACGGAGUAUUUCCAUAUAGAUGGGCCACUUUCUUCUUAAUCAAGAUGAAUUGCACUAACUGUUUUAAAUACAUCUGGAAAAUCUGGCCCUUUGUGGGAGUUUUCAUGACUGCCCCCAUUUUGCUGAACCAUGUACAGUCUCUAGUUCAGUACUGCUGAUGCCAACUGACAUUCAAGAAUCCAGUCCUGGAUGAGGAUAGUAUUAAGAUUGGAUUUGGAAUCAUUUAAUCAUUAAUCAUUUAAUUUCAUUCCUAACACAACACGUUUGCAAUGGAAGACUGUGAAGCCUUCUUCUGCUUAGAACUCUUGAAUUGAUUUGUCUUCACUACAUUAUAAAUGUACUUCAAAAAUUUCAGAGAAGUGCUUAUACAAUGGCUUCAGCAAUAUAGCAAAGUGUGUGGUUUCGCAUAAAUGUGAUACACUGAAGUUAGUUCCACAAAAGGUUAAAAAAAAAAAAAAAAGGCAAGAUGAUGGUAGGAAAAACAGCCUGAGUGAAAAUCCUAUACAACUCUGCCAAAGCAAUGUAUAUCCCCUUGCUUAAAUGACUAAACUUAACCAGAACUAAUUGCAAAUAAUAUGAUUUGGAGUUACAAACAUUUGUAAUUUUUGAAGCAUAGUUGCAAUUUUAUGAAGUAAGAACACACCCAUGGAACUAUUCUAAAAAUAGGCGUAAUAUUUUUAUGAUGUGAUCUAUUCAGUACCCUUGUUUGACAAUUAUAUUCAUUUACAAAAUAAAUUUAUAGUCUUAAAAAUUGAAAUAGUUUCCAAAUUUUCCCUUGAUGAGUGCAUUCAAAAUCAUGAUGUGCUUGAAUUACAUAUUGACAUCCAGUAUAAUCUUUUUGAACUCUAAAUUUUGUUUCCCAAUAAAGUUAAUCAAAGAUUUAAAUUUCCAAAUUGGUUAAACAUUUCUAACAUUAGGCUUUCUGAAGCAUGACUGUAACAGAAAAUUGUGUAACACCUUAAAAAUAUCUGUACUGCCAGAAUAGACUGAUACCAUAGAAUGAUCAUGUAAGUACAAUGCAUGAGUAAAAGGUAAUUUGGAUAUUCCUCAAUUUCUAUCUCCUCUGAUAUCAAUAUUUUCUACCCAGAAUGCAAAGUGUGUCCUUUUAUCAUGAAAAUAAACAUCUUUUUAUUCAGUUUUAUACAGAAAACUGGUUACUAUUCAGUCUAGUUUCAGAUGGGUUUGCUAGGAUUAGCAGGAGGCAGUGGAGAGAACAUGCUAGAGAGAGAUUUUAUCACACAGAGCAACACAGAAUCUAAGUAUGUAAGAGCUAGAAAGCUUCUUGAAGUAAUGGCUUAAGAGUUUUCACCAGCAGAGAAAAGCACAAGUGCCAACAACACAUCCGUUAGCACAGAUGUAUGUGGCUAUUCAGCUAUAGGCCCACCAUGCACUAAGCAUCACAUAUCUGAUUUUUUGUAAAUACAACUGCCAAAAUUUAUGGCUACAUCUGAUUAACAUUCUUUUCAGUAAACAAGUGAUAAACGUGGACACACAGAGAUAAAUUCCCUACUGCUUCAAAGAAGUAUCCCCAGCUUAUUUAUGUCAAGUAGAUCACUAAUAUAUUACCUUCACAAAAUUUUUUCCAUAACCCCUUUGGUCAAUUGUUUGUUUAAGCCUCAUUUAAAGCCUUUCUGUGAUCAAUGGGGCACAAUGAAAGAGGGUUUUAAAGCUUCUGUUUUAAAAAGGAAGAAAGGAAGAAAAAGAGAGAGAGAGAGAAAGGAAGAAAGAGAGAGGGAGAGAGAGAGAGGGAGAGAGGGAGGAGGAGGAGGAG